AGUCUCAUUCUUCACAAAACAUGUUAGCAACCCCAGUUUGGGUUGCACAGGGAGGACUACUGAACUCCUGUUUAUAAGAGAGCUUUGUUGUGUUCAUAUAGCCAGAACCAGACUGUUGGUGCCAGGGAAGGAAGCCGAUAUAUUACAGUCACAAUAAAAGCCACAUUCGGCACUUGCAAAGAGCUCAGAGAUGUGGAUCAACUGGUGUGUGGCUAUGUGCUUCUUAAAAUUCAGAUUCUCAAAUGCUGAGAUCACCCAGCCAUGGAGCCUGGUGCUGCAGGAAGACAAAACUGCACGGAUUGAGUGCGAACAAAAAUAUCUGCACGACAUCAUGUUCUGGUACCGCCAGGGUGCCGAGCCAGGUCUACAGCUCCUCUUUCACUACUAUUAUGCCAAGCGACAGCCUGUAGGCAAUGUUUCUGACCGGUUCACGGCUGAUAUGCCCAAGGCAGAUCGCUUGAUCCUGAAUAUUUCCCCUGCAAAGCCGGAAGAUUCAGCUGUGUAUUUCUGUGCAAGCAGCAGAGACACAGCAGUUCAAAGUAACCUCUCCUUCCUACAAAAUCCUCUGUGUGUCCUCAUCACUCUGCCUGUGUGGGCAACUGUGCUUGGGUGGUACGAUUCAAUUUACCAUGUAUGGACCCAUGUGAGAUUCCAGUUCCUCUGUGGGGCUUCUGGCAAUGGGAAACUCCCAGGCAAAAGCAUGUGCUCCAGAAUCGUCUAA
This is a non-coding RNA of Lacerta agilis (Sand lizard), 721 nucleotides long. Lineage: Eukaryota; Metazoa; Chordata; Lepidosauria; Squamata; Lacertidae. The record is from the annotation of a RefSeq genome assembly.